AUUGAACGCUGGCGGCAGGCCUAACACAUGCAAGUCGAGCGGAUGAAGGGAGCUUGCUCCUGGAUUCAGCGGCGGACGGGUGAGUAAUGCCUAGGAAUCUGCCUGGUAGUGGGGGAUAACGUCCGGAAACGGGCGCUAAUACCGCAUACGACCUGAGGGAGAAAGUGGGGGAUCUUCGGACCUCACGCUAUCAGAUGAGCCUAGGUCGGAUUAGCUAGUUGGUGGGGUAAAGGCCUACCAAGGAGACGAUCCGUAACUGGUCUGAGAGGAUGAUCAGUCACACUGGAUCUGAGACACGUUCCACACUCCUGCAGUGGGCAGCAGUGGAGAAUAUUGCACGAUGGACGAGUGCCUAAUCCUGCCAUGCCGCGUAUGUGAUGAAGGUCUACUGAUUGUAGAGCACUGUAAGUUGUGAGGUAGGACAGUAAUUUAAUACCUUGCUGUUUUGACGUUACCAACAGAAUAAGCACCGGCUAACUUCGUG
This 484-nucleotide ribosomal RNA is filed under the name uncultured bacterium. RNAcentral's name for it is "partial 16S ribosomal RNA". It matches the Rfam family "Bacterial small subunit ribosomal RNA", at positions 30 to 507 of the family's 1533-position model. The record is from RNAcentral.